Molecule: long non-coding RNA, 442 nt
Organism: Erpetoichthys calabaricus (reedfish)
Lineage: Eukaryota; Metazoa; Chordata; Cladistia; Polypteriformes; Polypteridae
Exons: 3
Source: RefSeq, a predicted model, not a curated record
UGGAUAAUCCUGCUAUUUAGUUCGUUCAAAAGCCUGAAAGGCCAGCUGUCCAGUCCUUCUUGAUUCAGAGGGAAGCAGCGCUCUCUCUGUAUAUACGACCCAGUCACGUGAGUUGGCACCAUGAAAUCCUGAGAGACUGACGAGGUUCACGUAACAAGCAUACAGUCCACUACACAAAUGGAAUGAUGCUGCACUGGACUGAACCAAGACAGACCAUGAAUACAUUGUGAAGACUGAUGCAUGGACAAAGUUCUUGGUCAACCAAUGAAACGGUCAUUCAUGAAAAGCUGAUGCUACGACCAGUAAGCCUUGUGCUGAUCAUCAUGCCAUGUUCAUCCAACUGGCAUCCUCACUUUCUGCCCCGACCACCUCAACUCUCAUUCUUUAUGUCACUUGUGAUCAAGGACGUGGUGAGGCCCUAAGCUAUACGGCAGAAAGGUAU